GAACUUUCCAGAGAUGGAUUGGUGCCUUCGGGAACUGUGAGACAGGUGCUGCAUGGCUGUCGUCAGCUCGUGUUGUGAAAUGUUGGGUUAAGUCCCGCAACGAGCGCAACCCUUAUCCUUUGUUGCCAGCGGUCCGGCCGGGAACUCAAAGGAGACUGCCAGUGAUAAACUGGAGGAAGGUGGGGAUGACGUCAAGUCAUCAUGGCCCUUACGACCAGGGCUACACACGUGCUACAAUGGCGCAUACAAAGAGAAGCGACCUCGCGAGAGCAAGCGGACCUCAUAAAGUGCGUCGUAGUCCGGAUUGGAGUCUGCAACUCGACUCCAUGAAGUCGGAAUCGCUAGUAAUCGUGGAUCAGAAUGCCACGGUGAAUACGUUCCCGGGCCU
This 388-nucleotide ribosomal RNA is filed under the name Escherichia coli. RNAcentral describes it as "bacterial SSU rRNA". It matches the Rfam family "Bacterial small subunit ribosomal RNA", at positions 993 to 1381 of the family's 1533-position model. Lineage: Bacteria; Pseudomonadati; Pseudomonadota; Gammaproteobacteria; Enterobacterales; Enterobacteriaceae. The record is from RNAcentral.